AUGCCAUGGUGAGGACAAGCCAUGAUAUACUCCUAGAGCCUCUCCCAUGCCUCUGGUAUCAACUCAUUACUGGCCU
Oryza glaberrima (African rice) is the source of this 76-nucleotide non-coding RNA. The record is from Rfam. Lineage: Eukaryota; Viridiplantae; Streptophyta; Magnoliopsida; Poales; Poaceae.